RNAcentral lists this ribosomal RNA (878 nucleotides) under uncultured bacterium. Its description in RNAcentral is "bacterial SSU rRNA". It matches the Rfam family "Bacterial small subunit ribosomal RNA", at positions 579 to 1457 of the family's 1533-position model. The record is from RNAcentral.
UCAGGAAANUCUGGAGUAAAAGGCUAUGGCUCAACCAUAGUGUGCUNUGGAAACUGUCUGACUUGAGUGCAGAAGGGGAGAGUGGAAUUCCAUGUGUAGCGGUGAAAUGCGUAGAUAUAUGGAGGAACACCNGUGGCGAAAGCGGCUCUCUGGUCUGUCACUGACGCUGAGGCUCGAAAGCGUGGGUAGCGAACAGGAUUAGAUACCCUGGUAGUNCACGCCGUAAACGAUGAGUGCUAGGUGUUAGGCCCUUUCCGGGGCUUAGUGCCGGAGCUAACGCAAUAAGCACUCCGCCUGGGGAGUACGACCGCAAGGUUGAAACUCAAAGGAAUUGACGGGGGCCCGCACAAGCGGUGGAGCAUGUGGUUUAAUUCGAAGCAACGCGAAGAACCUUACCAGGUCUUGACAUCCCGAUGCUAUUCUUAGAGAUAGGAAGUUACUUCGGUACAUCGGAGACAGGUGGUGCAUGGUUGUCGUCAGCUCGUGUCGUGAGAUGUUGGGUUAAGUCCCGCAACGAGCGCAACCCUUAUUGUUAGUUGCCAUCAUUAAGUUGGGCACUCUAGCGAGACUGCCGGUAAUAAACCGGAGGAAGGUGGGGAUGACGUCAAAUCAUCAUGCCCCUUAUGACCUGGGCUACACACGUGCUACAAUGGUCGGUACAACGAGUUGCGAGCCGGUGACGGCAAGCUAAUCUCUGAAAGCCGAUCUCAGUUCGGAUUGGAGGCUGCAACUCGCCUCCAUGAAGUCGGAAUCGCUAGUAAUCGCGGAUCAGCACGCCGCGGUGAAUACGUUCCCGGGCCUUGUACACACCGCCCGUCACACCACGAGAGUUCGUAACACCCGAAGUCGGUGAGGUAACCUUUUAGGGGCCAGCCGCC